This 433-nucleotide ribosomal RNA is filed under the name uncultured bacterium. RNAcentral's name for it is "partial 16S ribosomal RNA". It matches the Rfam family "Bacterial small subunit ribosomal RNA", at positions 29 to 507 of the family's 1533-position model. The record is from RNAcentral.
AACGAACGCUGGCGGCAUGCCUAACACAUGCAAGUCGAACGAGACCUUCGGGUCUAGUGGCGCACGGGUGCGUAACGCGUGGGAAUCUGCCCUUGGGUUCGGAAUAACAGUUGGAAACGACUGCUAAUACCGGAUGAUGACGUAAGUCCAAAGAUUUAUCGCCCAAGGAUGAGCCCGCGUAGGAUUAGCUAGUUGGUGAGGUAAAGGCUCACCAAGGCGACGAUCCUUAGCUGGUCUGAGAGGAUGAUCAGCCACACUGGGACUGAGACACGGCCCAGACUCGUACGGGAGGCAGGAGUGGGGAAUAUUGGACAAUGGGCGAAAGCCUGAUCCAGCAAUGCCGGGUGAGUGAUGAAGGCCUUAGGGUUGUAAAGCUCUUUUACCCGGGAUGAUAAUGACAGUACCGGGAGAAUAAGCUCCGGCUAACUCCGUG